UCUUAUUCGUAUUUGAUAAACUACAAACUACAAAAAAUUCGAUAUGAUAAUUGAUAUCGAAACAAUAAACAUUCUAUUAUCAAAGAAUUAUAUUAUCACGGCCAUAUAUUCAUGAUAGUAACUCGAUAUUGCUCACAGAUAUGUACAAUAUAUUUAACAUAUUUAAUAUUGUUUUACAUAUCUGUGGUAUUGCUAAAAACCUCUGCUGCUCUCGUCCGGCGGGUAUGUACAUUUUGCGUUUGAUGACAAUAACCGACCAUGAUUAUAACCAUGAUUUCGUAUAUGAUCACAAAAUAACAACAAUGUAAUAAACAUGAUAACAUAGAAUAUGAUAAUAUGGUCCGGUGUAAACACAAUGGUGAACGAACAAUAAACAUGAAUGGAAACUUUUGGCGACGGGAUUCAUAUAUGACAGACGAAAUGAAAUAUCCACAGAUGGUGCCUGAAGACCAACUAGCUUCAUUGGCACAUUUUCAUAAUUACCAACUAGGUGACAAGAUUGGUGAAGGAUCUUUUGGAAAAGUUUUUAAAGCAAUACAUACAAAAAGUAACACAGUAGUUGCUUUUAAAUUUAUUUUCAAGGUAUUGAAAUUGAUUUGACAGAUAAUUGUUUCUUUUAUGUAAUGUUAUCUAGCCGUGUAAUUUGUUUUAGCUUGAUGAGUUAAAAACAUUACAACAAGAAGUUGAAAUUCAACAGAAAUUACAUCAUCCAAACAUUGUUAGAAUGCUAGAGUCAUUUGGGAACAACAGUGGGGUAAAGUAUUCAUUUUAUCAGUUUAACUUUAAGUUUAUUAAGUUUUAGUUAUUUACUAUUUGUGUAACAGAUUGCUUUAGUUAUGGAGUUUGUACCCAGAUCCCUUAAAGAAAUUAUAGAAACUGAAGGUAUAUUGAGUGAACAAAGAACACAGAUUAUUAUAUGUCAUCUUGUAUCAGCUUUAAAUUAUUUACACCGUAAAAAUAUUUUACACAGGUAAAUACAUAAAAUAAAAACUAUAAUUAGUAUAUUAUAUUUAAUUAUUUUGAUAUUUAGGGAUUUAAAACCACCAAAUAUUUUAUUGGACCAUAAUGAUGUUGCAAAAUUGUGCGAUUUUGGAUUAGCAAGGUUUAUGUUGACUGGUACACAAGUUUUAACUCAAGCGUCACUUAAGGGAACGCCCCUUUAUAUGGCACCUGAAGUAUUGAAUUCCCCUGUUAUACCUCCAACAUACAACCACAAUGCAGAUUUAUGGUAAAAAUUACACGAUCAAUAAAAUAGUUUACAUUUAAAAAAAAAUUAUACAUAUUUUGAUUAACUCAUUGAUAACAAAAUUAAUUUAGGUCUUUAGGGUGUAUAGCAUAUCAUUUACUUUGUGGAAAACCACCAUUUGAUACAAAAUGUUUGAUGCAUUUAGUCCAAAUGAUGAAAGAUCAGCCAAUUGUUUGGCCAAAUACUGUAUCACCUGUUUGUCAAAACUUUUUAAAGCAACUAUUAAAAAAAAAUCCAUUAGAAAGAUUAACAUGGCCUGGUCUAUUAGAACAUGAAUUUAUAAGAAAUCAAGUAAAUGUGGUAAAUCAACAAGAUGGUGAUUUUUCUUCUGAAUUAGAUGACCUUGUAUCUCCAUUAAUCUCAAUGAAAAUAAAUGAGGAUGAUGCGACAACUGAUUCUUCAACCAGUCAUGAUGUGACGUCUAUAGAAGACACGUAAUAAUUCUUUGUAAUUAUAUACUACAUAGUCAAAUUAUAAUAUAAAAAGAUUAUAUAUAUAUAUUAAUUGUUGUGUAGAACUGAGGAAGACCUCCGUUCUAGUCAUGCAAGCUGGUGUUCUGAAACAUGUCAGGAGUUGGAUAUUGUUUCGGACCAAACAAACUCUACUAGUAAUAAUACCAAUAAUAAUGAUUUUAUGAGCGAAGAAUGGAUUGCAAUUUUACGACAAAGUGCAUCGGAGGUAAAACUUGAAUUUCUAUUAUGUACUUGUCUAUGUUUUUGACUAUACCCAUGUUGUCUUGAUUAAUAAUUAGAUGUUUUAAUGAUAAACAUUAAACAUGUAUAAAGAAACUCUGCUCAGAAUCGUUUUUAUUAGCAAAAAUUAAUCAUUGCUUACAGAUUUACAUUAAAUUUCCCUCUACCUGCCCAACUUCUCACGUACAACAAUGGCCCACCUAUUGUGUGAAGUAGGUCUGUUUCUUUUUAAAAUUGAUUUUGCUUGUAUUGAAAUCUAUACAUAGUUAAAUUAAGCCAUUCUUCCUUAAUAUCUAUGCACUUUUCAAGAAAAAAUUACUGUUCAUAGGCCUAUGGAAAAAAAUAUUGAAUACUAAUGUAGUAAUUAUUUUAAAAAUUUGGUUAUUAAAAAAAAUUAUAGCAAAAAACAACAGUCAUAAUAAUUGAUAGAGAUUUCAAUACACUUCUAAUUUUGUUUUUGAAAUGCAUCAAUUCAUAGAGAUAAAAUAGAAUAUUUGGAUAUAUAUAUAUAUUAAUAUUUGUUUACCAUAUGACAUUUUUUUUUCAGGUUCUAUCUGGAAAUUUACAAUCCAUGAAUCAAAAAAGUUUUAUUUUAUUUGUAUUGUCGUCUUUAAAAACCACCACAGUGUCUUCCAAAUUAUUACAUUAUGUUGUUACACUUCUAGCAAUUCCUUUUGUUUCAUCAAAUAUUCAACAAACUGAGAAAGAUUCAAUAACCAAAGUAUUUUUAAUUAUAACAUUAUAUAUUUAUUUAUGUAUCAAUGAAGUGCUUUAUGUAUUUUAAGUAAUAUUAUUUUUUAUUUAUUGUAGAUUUAUAUAGAAACUAAUGUCAUCUCGUGUUUGAUGCAAGCGUUUUCUAAUGCUUCCACGUCACCUGCUCGUAAUUGUGUAUCACCUGCACCUCCUGAUACAUUAGGUUUACUAGAAUUAACAAGCUUGGAAUCAGUGCUUCUUUUAGUGGAAGGUUUAUCUUUAGAUAAACCUGUUGAAUGUCUAAAACAGUUUAUCGAUAGUGUUGUUUUUUUAAAAAUUGUACCACUUUUACAAAAGUGUUUAUUACUGAGUCACGGAAAUACAGAUUUGGUGACAAAUACACUUGCAGUAUUAAUAUUAACUUUAAUUUAUUUACCACAAAACAUUAGUUUGGUGCAAGACAUUAUUAUUGGAAAACAUUUAGAAGGUAAAGUAUAAUACAUAUUAUUAAAAUUAUAUCAUUACAAUUUUAUAAUUUAAAUAUAAUGUUGUCUUAUAGGUAGGAUUACGAAUGUUGAACUUCAUAAAUUGCUUAGAAAUAAUGAAGAUCCAUCAGUGAGAGAAAGAACAUGUGUACUUUUAUUGCAUAUGACUAGACUGAGUCCAAAUAGUCUUUCAGAUGUUUGGCAUCAAACUCUUACAAAUGAUAUUGAAUUUUUAAAAGAUGAUCCAUGUCCUAAUGUUAUCCAGGUACAUCAAAAUUGAGUUUUAUGACAUUUUUAUUUAAUUUUAUAUACAGUUUAUCCUAUUAACAUUUAUAAUUUAUUAUUUUGACCUAAAUGCCAGACACUGAAGACAAAUUAUAAUUUUACUGAAGAUUGUUGUACCAUUUAAUAUUUGUAUAGUGUUCAUCAUAAUUUUAUCUGUAAAUUAUUAUUAAGUGUCUAAUUAUUACAAAUAUUUAAUGUAUUAUUUUUCCAUGAAUAUAAAAUUAUAUGUCAUUACUUUAUAUGAUAAAACCCAUCUAUAAAUUAUAUUCUAAAUUUUAAAUUCAAACAUUUAUUUUUUUUAUAUUGCUGUAUGUAAAUCAAAUUUGAAUUAAUGUUUUGUGGUAUAAAACUAAAAUUUUAGACUAUCUUUAAAAACUAUAUUUUUUAUUAUGUUUUAAGUUAAAAAAUAUAGGGGAAGGGGGAAUAUAAAAUUUCAAAAACAUAUUAUAUAUAUUUUUUUUAAAAAAAAACAAUUCAAUAAUAAUUGUCAAAAAUAGAUGGUUAAAAAGUUAUACAAUUAUUGACAAAUAUCAUGGUGAAUAUUAUAUGUAUUAAUUUUAGUCAAAUAGUUUUCUUAUUUAUUUUUGUCAUUUUGUUUAAUUUUAUUUGAUAUACAAUUUAUCCUUAAAAAAAAAUAUUAAUUUUUAUAAUUACUGAUGAUUUACUUAUUAGGUGUAUACAAAUAUAUAGGUAUAUAAGUACAAUUAAAGUAAUCCCUGAUGUUCAGUAUAAUUAAGUUCAUUGUAAAUGUUUGAAAUUGAUAUAUUCUACUACAUUUAGGAUUUCUUUAGUUAUUAUUAAAAAAUAUUACAGCUUUUAUACUGACUAACAUCAAUAAUAAAAUAGCUUUUUGGAAUUUGAUCUGAUCUGAUAAAUUGGAAUCUAUAUUAAUCUUAUGACUAGAUUCUUUAAAUUUGUGUAUUAAAACUAUUGAUUUUAUGUAUUUAUAAAAUGAUUUAAUUUAUUGAAAUAUAUCAAUAACUUUAUUUUAAUUAUAGGCUGCUUUUUAUACAUCAGAACUAUUGAAGAAAACACAGUUUUACAAUGUGGAAACAGAACAAUAAGAGGAAACUUAUACAGGGAUCUUCAACUUUUUUACACAGCCGGCCACGUAUUGUUUUCUAAAAUUCUCGCAGGCCGUAUUCAUAGUAAAAAAAAUGUAUUUUGUACCAAAAUUGAGUAUUUAUUAUUAUACAAUUUAUGAUUACGAAUUAUUAUUAUUAUUAUUACAAAAUAUAUAAUUUUUUUUUUUAAAAAAAGUAUUUAACAACAAAAAAUUAAGAAAUAUUCAUGAUGGAAGUGAAUAAAAAAUAUUGAAAGUUCUUUGACAAAUUUUAAGUGAGUAAAUUUCUUAAUAAUUAAUAUUAAUGUAUGUAUAUAGAUACCUAGAAAAAUAUCAAAAACCAUCCUUAUAUUUUUCAUUUCCCUCCCUUACCUUAUCAAUAUACUACAAUCAAAAUUUCCAUUUUUAAAUUUCCUUAAAUAUAUAAGAUAUUUAACACCAUUGUCAUCUUCCUAAAAGUCAUGUUGAAAAGGGUUAGAAAAUUGAAAAUCAAAAUAUUGACUGUUUGGAAUUUUUUUAAGUGGCUAUACGAAUAGAACACCUUUAUAGUAUUUUCUAUAUGGAUCUAUUGGUUUUACUAUGUGUUUUUUUUAUUAUUAUUAUUAUUUUUUGUGUCCAAAGUAUCAAGUAUUACUGUUUCUGAAAACUAAUUUUAUCUAUUUAGUGCAUUGGAAAGGUCAUUUUGAUUUUCUAAUGGGUUUUCAAAAUAAUUGGAAAAAACCUAAAAGUAAAUUGUAGGUAAACUGCCAAAUAUGUAUGGCUUACCAAGGUGUUACUAUUUUCAUUGUUUUUAUUUAUUUACACAAUGUUUUUUUACCAGAAAUAUUUCUCCAAUCAAAAAUUGAUAAGAGAUAAAUUUUGUUCUUUUUAACAUAUAGCUACUGACCAACGAGAGUCGUUUUUUAAUAUUAGAAGGAUUUUUGAUAAUAAUAACCAAAAAGUACGAAAAAUAUGAUUUUUUUUUUAAAGUACAGGGUAACAGUAUAAUUUUUUUAACCAGAAAUAUAGAAACACGAGACCAUUUUGUUGAUUUUUUAAUCAAAUUGGUUUUCAAGAAAGUCAUUUUUUGAUUUUCUUUAUAUUUUUUUUAAUAAUUGAGCAAAACCGAAAAACAUGUAGAAAGAACUGGACAAUUUUCGAAAAUAAUUCAGUUCAAAAUAUUUGUAGAGAUUUGAAAUUUUGACAGACAACUAAAAUUUGUUUUUUUAGACCUGCUAAAAAUUUUAAAACAUUUGAGCCAUUUUUAUAGACAUUUUAAUUUUGUGAGUUUUUUACAUAAUUUUUAUUUGGUAGGUACUUAUAAAUUACGCAUAAAAUUGUUAAACUUAACAGAAUGCUUGAAAAUUUGACAGGAGGUUCAUUAUAAGCUGUACUUAGUGGUAAAAAAAACAAAAUUGAUAAGAGUUUUUAAAAAUUACAUUUUGAUGAAAAUCCUAAAUAUUAUGGUCUUUCAAAUCAUGUAUAAUUAUGAACUUCAUUCCAAAUCAUUUUUCUUUAACAAUGGUUUAGUUAGUAAAACAUUAGUAAAAGGUAUAAUAAAUAACUUUAUGUAUCCUACCUUCCUUACUACCCACCUACAACAGUGGCUGCACCCAUCCCCAGUAUCAGCUCUUUUUUUAAGUUUAGUUCUAACUCCAUAAAUGAGUAUUAACUCUAAACCAGUUGUAUCUCGGCGGGAAAUGGGAAAAACUAAAAUUCAAUCAUGAGAUAUUGGUUGGAUAGGGUACAAAAAAUAUAAUUAUUUAGCGUUUUUCGAUAUUUUGAUUUUUCUCCCAAGUGCCAGACUUCUAUUAAAUAUCAAUAUCUGUAAUUCUGCAUAUUAUAAUUUUAUUUGUUAUUAUUGGUUUUCGGGCAUUUUUUGCUCAUCUGCUUCCACUCCGCCUCUCCCUGAAUGCAGCUGAGUCCAUAGCUAUGGUUUUCAUUUCUUAUUUCCAGAUGCGAUCUAACUUAACCAUCUGGCCGCCAAAUAUGCCCAACCCAGUUUAUUUUAUUGACUUUUUUGAAUUCCAAUUAUGUCUGUAUAAUAAUUAUUGAACUUGCAUAAAAAUAGAUUGUAUCUAUUUAAACUUUAAAAAGCCGUAAUAUUUUUUUUCUUAUUAUUCUUACCAAUAUAUUUUUAUUUUUUCUAUUUUAUUAUAUUAUACUCAAAAUAUUUUUCUUUCAUCGCGACCCAUAGGUUGGAGGAAACAUUAUUUUAAAGCAUGUGUAACUUAAUUCCACUCAGAAUUGUUUUCUGUUAGCAAUGACCAAUUAUUAUGUAUAUAUAUAUACUUACAAUUUCCCCUUUACCUUCCAAACCUCUUUCCUAAACCAAUGGUCCAUCCAUCACUCAAAUUAUGUCUGUUUUUUAAUAUCAAUUAUAAAAUAAAUUAUUCUUUCAAAAUGAAUUUGUUGUUUUAUAAAAUGCAUUGUUUUUUUUGUUGUUUUAGCUUUAAUGAGCAAUUUUUAGACUAAAAUAUUAAUGAGGAAGACAUUAUUUAUGACAUAACAUCUUAUUAUGACUAUAGUGAAGAUAAUAAAAGAAAUGAAGUAAGUAAUUUGCACAUUACUUUGAUCUUCUAAAAAACGAAAGAAUACUUAUAAAAUUAUAAAUUGACGGUUCAAUACAGGGUGAACAAUACAAUGGAAAACACUCAUUAUCUCAGAAAAUAAUAAUUUUUUUUGGAAUUUGGUUUUUAGAAAAUUUAAGAAACAAGCAACUUUAAAAUGUCCCAUUACCAUUAUUUUUUUGCAAUGGGUAGAUAAUUUGAUUUUGAAAUAUUUACUUAUAUGAACAUAACAUGUGACAUGUGAAUAAUCAUAUUAUUGAAAUACACUUAUGUUACUUUUUCCAAAAACUGAUUUACAUAUAAUACAAUUUUAAAAUCAUAAAAUAUGUUUGUCAAUAUAAUCGUAAAUAAUUGGAAACUGAAGAAUAUUAAAACUGCUUGAAACUAAAUUUUUGUAAAUAAAUCAACAUGCCUUGAGUUUAUUUAGAAACUGGUGUGUGCAAAUUUAAAAUGAUUAUGUAGAUAAUUGAAAAAUGCUUGAAUAAUAAAAAAACAGUUAAUUGGUACAAAACAGGGUGUAACACAAAUAUCUAUAAUUCUUGUGCUGUUCAAUAUUUUUAAGGUUUUUUUUUUUUUAAUAAUUAUUAAGGCAUUGUACGAAACAUGUACUUACUAAAUUUUAUAUCCUUAAAUAUUCAUAAUAAAUAUAUAUAAUUAAUAUAUCUGUCAAUGAUGUACUCAAUGAUGAGCUCUUAACUCACUAAAACAUACUUCAACUGCCCAGAUGACAUAUCCGCUUAAUGUUUGUACAAUUGUUCCUAUUAUAUUGCUUUUCUAUCUAUUUACUGUUCAGAUGCUCACUAGACUUGGGAGUUUUCUCUACUGUUUGGGAAAUAUUCUCUAUAAUGCCGUUAUUAAAAUCAGGUAACCCAAUUCGUGUCCAAAAUUACAGACCGAUUUUCAUAAUACCUCAUCUUGGUAAAUUAAUUUGAAUUACUGAUAUACUCUAGAAUAAAACGUAGUAUAAAUCAGGUUAUUAUAAAUGAGCAACAUGGUUUUAGAUUGCAAAAAUCAACCAUAACGAGCAGUGUUGCCUUCACUUCUUAUUCAUCAGAAGUAAUGUUUUUUAAAUAAAUAAAUAAAUAAAUAAAUAAAUAUCAAACAUACACAUUUUAUAAUACAAAACGAU
Molecule: non-coding RNA, 8142 nt
Organism: Cinara cedri
Lineage: Eukaryota; Metazoa; Arthropoda; Insecta; Hemiptera; Aphididae
Source: the annotation of a GenBank genome assembly